This 1311-nucleotide long non-coding RNA is filed under the name Olea europaea subsp. europaea. The record is from RNAcentral. Lineage: Eukaryota; Viridiplantae; Streptophyta; Magnoliopsida; Lamiales; Oleaceae.
AGUGAGUCUACUUGUGACUAAAGAAAUAAAAAAUGAUUGUUGGAAGAGUGAAAUAAAGGUGAAAAAAUUGAUUUUUUGAUAAAAAAUUACUACCAAGUUUAACUUCGCUAGACUUUUUUGAUGUUGACGAUCCUAAAAGUUUCACUACGAACACCAACUCAUUCAAAGGCAUCAAGGUUUUUUUGCGUGCAGAUGACUGAAAGGGUUUGUUAUAAACUUAGAUAUUAUUCUUAAAAUUCGGGUUCGAACUGUUUUUUUUAAUUGUUAAGAUAUGCUGUGACUGUUUUUUAUGUUUGGAUAAUUUUCUAUGUUACUAGUUGUUUGUUUCUGUGUUACUGGCUGUUUGAACGAGAGUAUUUUCUGGGAUUUUUGAAUAUUUUGUUGUUAUUGGAUGCUUUGAGUCUAGGUUUGAUUAUUUUGUAAAGUUUUAGAGACUCCGUGAUCUUUAAUUUUACCCACUCUUGGUAGAAAUGGAAAUGUGGAUUCCUUUUUUUGCUUGUCUGAUUUUCAUAUGGGUAUCGUGUUUUGUCGGAUUCUUGAUUUCAAAGUAAUGCACCUGUUAAUUUUGAUUAAUUUUCUCUAAUGAAUUCUUAUUUCUGGGAUACUCUUUUCAUUCAAAAUGGGAUAUUUUUUUUCUUUCCCUUCUUAGUAAAUAAUAUAUUUAAUAUCUCACACUGUAAUUUCUAAGUUACUGGGUAAAUGAUGUUUUCUAUUAUUGGAUCUGGUAAGUUCCUAGCCAUGGUUAACUAUGGAGUCUUAACCGUGCGUGUAUUUGAUCAUUUAUUGAACUAAGUUUUGCUGGCGCUUGCAAUGGCUCUAGAUUCUUCUACUGUUUCUUUUAUUUCUUUAGUUUCAAGGUUUGGUUGCCAAUCGAUUUCAAUGAUCAUACAUAGUUGUUCCCGUAUCUACGGUUGGUGCAUUAGCAAUUUGUAUUGAUGUAUUAGAUGCUAAAUUGUAAUCUAGGUAAAAAGGAUGAUUGGGUUUGAUUUCCUGGUCCUUAUAUCUGUUACUUGAGAUACAUUUUUAUUUAGUUGAUAUAACACGGGCAUAUGAGGAUGACGUAUCAUUUAUUAACUUACAUAUUUAUUUUUAUUUUUUAUUUUUUAUUUUUUAUUUUUUAAGUUUUAAGUGGCACACCCUACUCUUGUUAUUUAUGGAGUGAAUUCACAUUUCCUACCAAUAAGUGACAAUUUCAAAACUAAUUUACAAACAUAUGCUAAUUAUUAGUACCAGCAAGAUCCAUUUGAUCGUGUAUCGAUCUUCUUUUAAAUCAACAUGUGAUUUGUCUCCAUGUGCUAUCGUCCUUUCAUC